AUUGAGCUCUGAAAUCUUGUUGU
Molecule: microRNA, 23 nt
Filed under: Panagrellus redivivus
Lineage: Eukaryota; Metazoa; Nematoda; Chromadorea; Rhabditida; Panagrolaimidae
Description: prd-miR-7918f-5p
Source: miRBase by way of RNAcentral